CCUCUAGUUCUGGAUUCGCCCACCCCAGGGAAAAGACCCUAUGGUGUAGUUUUUAAGGGAACGAGCAGGAGGCUUUGAGGAAUUGUUUCACCCAGAGGUAUCUGGAACUCACUGCCUGAAAGGAUAUUGAGAUGGGCUGUUGAAGCACCACAGCGCACAAGGCUGAGGGGAGAAACGCUGGAUUGAAAUGGACGGUUGCCAGUUGGUACAGACAUGACAGGCUAAAGGGCCUUUUCCCAUGCUGCGGAAAGCCCACUGGAACCUGCCUAUCCAGCAGGCCAUCCCUUUGUGUUUUGUGUUCACCCCCACUUUCUUGUGUUUGUGCUCGUUUUAGCUGCUGAGAAAGAUGAGUUCGAGUGACACACCGCUGGGAACCGUGGCCCUCCUGCAGGAGAAGCAGAAAGCACAGAAAACACCUUACAUCGUCCUCAGUGGGAGCGGGAAGAGCAUGAACGUAAACACCAUAACGAAAUGAGACUCCUGGACCCAAGGACUGGACUUUGGCACCGAUGUGGGAGGGGGUUAGGGUUCCUUUUACAGCAGGGAAGGGAAAAGAUUUGGUCACUGGCUAGAUCUUGCUGUUCUAUUUACUCUUGAACUUUUCUUCUGUACAUUAAUAAAGAGACUUUUUUUUUCCCUUUU
Molecule: non-coding RNA, 642 nt
Organism: Chiloscyllium plagiosum (whitespotted bambooshark)
Lineage: Eukaryota; Metazoa; Chordata; Chondrichthyes; Orectolobiformes; Hemiscylliidae
Source: RefSeq, a predicted model, not a curated record